UACGGGGGGAGCAAGCGUUGUUCGGAUUUACUGGGCGUAAAGGGCGCGUAGGCGGCGCAACAAGUCACUUGUGAAAUCUCCGGGCUUAACCCGGAGCGGCCAAGUGAUACUGUCGUGCUAGAGUGCGGAAGGGGCUACUGGAAUUCUCGGUGUAGCGGUGAAAUGCGUAGAUAUCGAGAGGAACACCUGCGGCGAAGGCGGGUAGCUGGGCCGACACUGACGCUGAGGCGCGAAAGCCGGGGGAGCAAACAGG
Molecule: ribosomal RNA, 253 nt
Filed under: uncultured bacterium
Lineage: Bacteria
Description: partial 16S ribosomal RNA
Rfam family: Bacterial small subunit ribosomal RNA
Source: RNAcentral